UUCCUCCGGAAGUUUGAAUUAUGCAAUAAAUUGCAAGAAGUUCUGUGAUUCGAUUGCACAUGAUAUAAACGAGGAAGAAACGUAAAUCGCCGAAAGAUACGGAGACAAGCGGUUCCUUAAGAUUUGUUGGCCGCUUUUCACCAUCGCGUGACAUCUGAUACAUCUAAUGCUUUAUUUGGCGAAUUUAUUUCUGUUUUCGCAUGGAUUUGAAUUGAAAAUAGAAUUUGUUUACAAAAUGUCUGAUUAUUCUAGAGAUAAAAGUUGUAAACGUA
This is a long non-coding RNA of Melitaea cinxia (Glanville fritillary), 272 nucleotides long. RefSeq lists it as uncharacterized. The transcript has 4 exons. NCBI's taxonomy places the organism in Eukaryota, Metazoa, Arthropoda, Insecta, Lepidoptera, Nymphalidae. The record is from RefSeq and is a predicted model, not a curated record.